CUUUUUCAUUUUUCUUAAUUUAUUCUUACGUUUGCUUCUUCUCUGUAACAGUCUUGCAUGGCGAUUUGGGCUUCAAUUCGCAAAAAUUAGGGCUUCGCUAAUCGAUCGAUUUGCCAACUUUGUUUUAAAUAAGAUGUGAUCUCACAGUGGUUCUCGCGGUUUUUUUUUUUUCUUCUUCGAAGCCAAGAUUUUAUAAAGGACAGUCGGUGAAGUUGUUUCUUUUUUUAGAAGGAGGGGGGUGGGGGAUAUUUGGGGUUUGAGAUUUCUAGGGUUAGGGUUUUGGAAGGCAUGAAGGGGGCUUUGGAUCGAACUAAGGUGAUUCUCCGCCACUUGCCGCCGGCGAUUACGGAGGCCAUGCUUGUCGAACAAGUCGAUAGUGCUUUUGCUGGCCGGUACAACUGGCUCUCUUUUCGUCCCGGGAAGAGCAGUCAGAAGCAUCAGUCCUAUUCCAGAGCAUACAUAGAUUUCAAGAGGUCCGAGGACGUGUUGGAGUUUGCAGAGUUCUUUAAUGGGCACGUGUUUGUCAAUGAGAAGGGCACUCAGUUUAAAACAAUUGUUGAGUAUGCACCUUCCCAACGUGUUCCAAAGCUGUCUUCUAAAAAGGAUGGCCGUGAAGGGACUAUACUUAAAGUAUUUCUUGAUGAACAUCUAGAUCCUGAGUAUUUGGACUUCCUUGGAUGUCUUGCAAAGCCAGUUGAGAACCUUCCUAGUGCAGAGAUACAAUUGGAGAGAAAAGAGGCAGAAAGAGCUGGUGUACCGAAGGAUACUCCUAUAGUUACACCUUUAAUGGAUUUUGUUAGACAGAAAAGAGCAGCUAAGGGCGGAUCACGGAGGUCACUGUCCAAUGGGAAACUGAGCAGAAGAGCUGGUGGGUCUUCUGGUGGAACUCCAGGUUCAGCAUCAUUGAAAAGAGGUUCUGAAAAGAGAAGGGGUUCUACGGCAAUGUAUGUUCUGAGGGAUAGUUUGAAAAAUGCAAGUGGCAAAGACAAGUCAACUUACAUUUUGGUUUCUAAAAGGGAUGAGCAGCAACUUUCUGAUAAGCAUGUUACUUUAGCUUCAUCCAUGGGAACUGAAAUAUCUGAAGAGGAAAGUGGAGUUCCUGGAAUUACUGAUGCUGGUAAGAAGAAAGUUCUGCUUCUUAAAGGGAAAGAGAAAGAAAUUUCUCAUGUGGCUGGAACCAUGUUAUAUCAACAGAAUGUUACAUCUCCAAUUAAAAACAUACUUGGUUCGACUCCUACCAAACAGAACUCACGACGUGAAGGAAGAAUGAUUAGAGGCAUACUUUUAAACAAGGAUGCUCGUCAAAAUCAGUCUUCUGGGGUCCAGUCAGAUCAGCAAAUUCAGACCUCAAAUUUGGAAAAGGACAGACGACCGCCACGGCAUUCACAUUCACAUUUAGUUUUGAAGGAUACAAACACUGCUUCAGAUGACAAGGUUGUUGGGAAUGACUUGCAUGGCAGCGAGAAGCCAGAAAGACGUAGUAGAAACAAAGAUAGACCAGAUCGCGGUGUAUGGACCCUCCGCCGUUCUGAUGGAUCAUAUGCAAGUGAUGAGUCCAUGUCAUCAUCUGCUUCUCAGUCUCCGCAGAUACCUUUAGAUUCUCUAGAAGGGGCUUAUGGUGAUGUUAAAGUUGAUUUGUCAAAUGUACGGUCUGUGCAAGUUAAAACUGGUGGAAGUGGACGUAACAGUUCUUUAGAUAAUGGAUCCCAUAAUAAACAUGUCAGUCGUCGUGGAGCAGUUGCCGAUGGAUCUUCUGUUAUGAGUGAUGGGAAACCUGGAAAAAGAGGCAGUGCUGCUGGCUAUGGUUCUCAUGAGAAACAAGUUUGGGUGCAGAAAUCGAGUUCUGGUUCUUAGUGAACUUUUAAAAUGCAUUGGCAAUCCUGGUCUCAUUUAUGGUGGUGUUAGGAGAUUGUUAGUAGCAAGCUAAAGUAUCAGCAAUGGUGGCAGCAGUGAGCCUGAUGGUAGUUUUGGUGGCGAUUGUUGAUGGCAAGAUAAGUUGUAGGUGAGAGAACCAAAAGUAUGGACUUGUCUACAGUAUUCAUGAUGGCCAUAUUGCUGCUAAUGGGCGUAUUGGCAAUGAAAUGAUCAAAUUGCUUCGUCACAUGAAUAUUGAGCAUGCACUUGCUUUUUGCUGGAGGCUGUCUCGUUUUGCUUAACCCAUGAUCAGGUGUAAUCAAUGUUUCAGCAGCAAAGUAGGGGAAGAGGUUCAGUUGACCUAGAGGUUGCAGAUACCAUUGUAAUUAAUACUUGGUUGGUUGAAGGAAUCCCAAUGUUAAUACUUGGUGGAUUGAAGAAAAUCUUGAUCUUAGUCAAAGAUGGGUCAGAAUAGAAAGGAACAAGAAGCAAAGAGAAAUAAAAAGCUUUCUUAGUAAUCGCACUGCAUCACUGUUUUCAUGGCUGCAGGCCAUAGUGGAUUUUGGCCAGCCAGGGCACUAUGAAUCUCCUCUGAUUCUUGCCAUUGACUCGACUUGGUACUGGCAUAUUCUGAUUUUAUUGGUCGGUUUCCUCCCUUAGCUGGAACUGUAAAUAUAAACGCAGAGCCCUCUACAUACUCUCUGCUUUACUGAGUUAUUAUACGCGUAUUGUUGAGCAGUCCACCUUCAGUGUAAACUCUAGUUUAGCAUUUGUCUAUAUGGGUUGGUCAUUUGUGCAGAAGAGUAGGAAAGCUGGGGGAAACUUUUACCAGCCUGCAGCUUGUUUUGAAUCUUGACUGAUUUCUGUUACUAGGCAUUGGAGUGGUUUGGAGGAAUGGUAAAAUUGUAUGUCGGUGGGAAUUCAUUUUGGUUUUUGUCUUGGCUUGGGUCUUAUAAAGUGAUAUCCAAAAUGUGAGUGUUAAUGUUUGCUGC
RNA transcript from Theobroma umbraticum, 2846 nucleotides. It is a transcript of the gene named Smg-4/UPF3 family protein, with no coding region annotated. Lineage: Eukaryota; Viridiplantae; Streptophyta; Magnoliopsida; Malvales; Malvaceae. The record is from RefSeq and is a predicted model, not a curated record.